Molecule: transfer RNA, 86 nt
Rfam family: tRNA
About the family: Transfer RNA (tRNA) molecules are approximately 80 nucleotides in length. Their secondary structure includes four short double-helical elements and three loops (D, anti-codon, and T loops). Further hydrogen bonds mediate the characteristic L-shaped molecular structure. tRNAs have two regions of fundamental functional importance: the anti-codon, which is responsible for specific mRNA codon recognition, and the 3' end, to which the tRNAs corresponding amino acid is attached (by aminoacyl-tRNA synthetases). tRNAs cope with the degeneracy of the genetic code in two manners: having more than one tRNA (with a specific anti-codon) for a particular amino acid; and 'wobble' base-pairing, i.e. permitting non-standard base-pairing at the 3rd anti-codon position.
Source: Rfam
GGAGAGUUGCCCGAGCGGUUUAAGGGGCUGGUCUUGAAAACCAGUGAUUCCGAAAGGGACCGUGGGUUCGAAUCCCACAUUCUCCG